AUGGAAUGUGUCUUACUUACACUUAGGGGCUUGUGGUUCAGUGGAGACCACACUGGACUGGACUGAACAGACAACUGAAGGGCUCUCUCUACCUUUCAGCAUCUCUGUCUGCCUUUCUGACUACCUAAAAAGUACUGCAACCUCUGAUUCUGUUUCUAAGGUGGAUUUUCCCUACUCAUGCUUCCUAGAGAUUUGGUGAGGAUUUGUUGAGUCAUGGGACAUUUGAGCUUGCCAAGCUUCUUUAGCCUUAGCACGUGUUUCCACCAGUGUCCCUUAAUGGAGAGGAUGACUAUGUCACUGAAGAAGUGGAGGGGCUGAAAAUGGAUUCAGCUCUUGGCCCCUGUAGAGACUGUGAGACUCCGUGCACACCAUGACAGUCGGGGCUUCUGAGCACUGCGCUGUUCAGCCCUAUUGCGCAACCUGCCAUGCCCCGUUACUGUAAAUGGAACACCGGCUGUGAGUUGGUCAACGCCCUGCCAUAACAAGGCCACUUGCAUAGGACUCCAAAUUUAAAAAAAAAAAAA
RNAcentral lists this long non-coding RNA (524 nucleotides) under Pongo abelii (Sumatran orangutan). RNAcentral describes it as "lincRNA". The record is from RNAcentral. Lineage: Eukaryota; Metazoa; Chordata; Mammalia; Primates; Hominidae.